CGCCAGACUCCUACGGGAGGCAGCAGUGGGGAAUAUUGGACAAUGGGGGAAACCCUGAUCCAGCGACGCCGCGUGAGUGAAGAAGUAUUUCGGUACGUAAAGCUCUAUCAGCAGGAAAGAAAAUGACGGUACCUGACUAAGAAGCCCCGGCUAACUACGUGCCAGCAGCCGCGGUAAUACGUAGGGGGCAAGCGUUAUCCGGAUUUACUGGGUGUAAAGGGAGCGUAGACGGCAGCGCAAGUCUGGAGUGAAAUGCCGGGGCCCAACCCCGGAACUGCUCUGGAAACUGUGAAGCUGGAGUGCAGGAGAGGUAAGCGGAAUUCCUGGUGUAGCGGUGAAAUGCGUAGAUAUCAGGAGGAACACCGGCGGCGAAGGCGGCUUACUGGACUGUAACUGACGUUGAGGCUCGAAGGCGUGGGGAGCAAACAGGAUUAGAUACCCCCGUAG
RNAcentral lists this ribosomal RNA (447 nucleotides) under uncultured bacterium. RNAcentral describes it as "bacterial SSU rRNA". It matches the Rfam family "Bacterial small subunit ribosomal RNA", at positions 329 to 793 of the family's 1533-position model. The record is from RNAcentral.